CCCCAGACUCCUACGGGAGGCAGCAGUGAGGAAUAUUGGUCAAUGGGCUUACGCCUGAACCAGCCAAGUCGCGUGAGGGAAGACUGCCCUAUGGGUUGUAAACCUCUUUUGUCAGGGAGCAAUUGGCGCUACGUGUAGCGUUAUCGAGGGUACCUGAAGAAAAAGCAUCGGCUAACUCCGUGCCAGCAGCCGCGGUAAUACGGAGGAUGCGAGCGUUAUCCGGAUUUAUUGGGUUUAAAGGGUGCGUAGGCGGAAUGCCAAGUCAGCGGUAAAAUCGCGGGGCUCAACCUCGCUCCGCCGUUGAAACUGGCGUUCUUGAGUGGGCGAGAAGUAUGCGGAAUGCGUGGUGUAGCGGUGAAAUGCAUAGAUAUCGCGCAGAACCCCGAUUGCGAAGGCAGCGUACCGGCUCCACACUGACGCUGAGGCACGAAAGCGUGGGUAUCGAACAGGAUUAGAUACCCCCGUAU
RNAcentral lists this ribosomal RNA (467 nucleotides) under uncultured bacterium. RNAcentral describes it as "bacterial SSU rRNA". It matches the Rfam family "Bacterial small subunit ribosomal RNA", at positions 329 to 793 of the family's 1533-position model. The record is from RNAcentral.